Clupea harengus (Atlantic herring) is the source of this 712-nucleotide long non-coding RNA. Lineage: Eukaryota; Metazoa; Chordata; Actinopteri; Clupeiformes; Clupeidae. The record is from Ensembl.
UGGACAACCUUGUUGCAACCAUCCCUACUCACAAACAUACUCGAUUCACGCAUCUUUGAAUCCCCCUAGACUUUGACCUCGUUGUCUGCCUCCACCUUUUUAUGUUGCGAUCCACCAGCCAGUCGUAACAUAAAAUUAGGGACUUGUCCGAAAUGUUUUUUAUUUUCCCCGCCCAAUUGAGUUCUGCGUGGAUUGUGUGGUUAUUUCAUUCGUUGUUGCGGUGUCCUCUACCUCCGAGCACUCCAGGUAAGAAGCAGUGGCUCAGCUAGAUCAUCAGAUCUUUCCAUCCAGCACUGGUUUGUUGUUUUGCGUUUUUUUUAUUUCGUGAUUGUGUUCUAUUUUUUCGUCGUGGAAACAAUCCUGGGCGGGAGUUGUAAAACUUUCGUCAGGGGUACGUGAGUACAACUGCACUCAACUUGAGAGCAGUGCACCCCUAGCCCGGCACGUUUCAGAAGCAGCAGGUGUAGGACAGCAUAGCUAAUGGUAAGGUCUGGAGUGUACGGACGGACGAUUAUACCGUGGUUUCCUGGGAGGAACCUUUUUGGGGAGGGAGGAGUUAGGACCCCCUGCACACCCCGCGCCCCGCACACCCCGCCUGCAGUCCCUGUACUGGCCAUACGGAAGCAGCAGGUUGUGGGCAUGCAGUCCCUGUACUGGCCAUACGGAGGUAGCAGGUUUAAUACAGUAAUGUGUGUCCCUUGUGAGCAGCCAU